RNAcentral lists this ribosomal RNA (247 nucleotides) under uncultured bacterium. RNAcentral describes it as "partial 16S ribosomal RNA". It matches the Rfam family "Bacterial small subunit ribosomal RNA", at positions 523 to 769 of the family's 1533-position model. The record is from RNAcentral.
AUACGUAGGGUGCGAGCGUUAAUCGGAAUUACUGGGCGUAAAGCGUGCGCAGGCGGUUUCGUAAGACAGAUGUGAAAUCCCCGGGCUUAACCUGGGAACUGCGUUUGUGACUGCGAGACUUGAGUGCGGCAGAGGGGGGUGGAAUUCCACGUGUAGCAGUGAAAUGCGUAGAGAUGUGGAGGAACACCGAUGGCGAAGGCAGCCCCCUGGGUUAACACUGACGCUCAUGCACGAAAGCGUGGGUAGC